AGUGAACGCUGGCGGUAGGCCUAACACAUGCAAGUCGAACGGCAGCACAGUAAGAGCUUGCUCUUACGGGUGGCGAGUGGCGGACGGGUGAGGAAUACAUCGGAAUCUACUUUUUCGUGGGGGAUAACGUAGGGAAACUUACGCUAAUACCGCAUACGACCUACGGGUGAAAGCAGGGGGUCUUCGGACCUUGCGCGAUUGAAUGAGCCGAUGUCGGAUUAGCUAGUUGGCGGGGUAAAGGCCCACCAAGGUGACGAUCCGUAGCUGGUCUGAGAGGAUGAUCAGCCACACUGGAACUGAGACACGGUCCAGACUCCUACGGGAGGCAGCAGUGGGGAAUAUUGGACAAUGGGCGCAAGCCUGAUCCAGCCAUACCGCGUGGGUGAAGAAGGCCUUCGGGUUGUAAAGCCCUUUUGUUGGGAAAGAAAAGCAGCAGGUUAAUACCCCGCUGUUCUGACGGUACCCAAAGAAUAAGCACCGGCUAACUUCGUG
This 492-nucleotide ribosomal RNA is filed under the name uncultured bacterium. Its description in RNAcentral is "partial 16S ribosomal RNA". It matches the Rfam family "Bacterial small subunit ribosomal RNA", at positions 29 to 507 of the family's 1533-position model. The record is from RNAcentral.